ACUAUUUUGGCAGAAAAGUGCAAUGAAUUUAGAAUUCAUGAAUGUGAUUUAUUACAGAUAGUA
This 63-nucleotide transfer RNA is filed under the name Velarifictorus hemelytrus. RNAcentral describes it as "tRNA-Leu". The record is from RNAcentral. Lineage: Eukaryota; Metazoa; Arthropoda; Insecta; Orthoptera; Gryllidae.